GACGAACGCUGGCGGCGUGCUUAACACAUGCAAGUCGAACGAGUGGCGAACGGGUGAGUAAUACGUGAGUAACCUGCCCUCUUUUUGGGAUAAGCCUUGGAAACGGGGUCUAAUACCGGCUAAAGGGGGAUGGGCUCGCGGCCUAUCAGUUUGUUGGUGGGGUGAUGGCCUACCAAGGCGGUGACGGGUAGCCGGCCUGAGCGGGUGACCGGCAACAGUGGUACUGGGAGACGGCCCAGACUCGGACGGGAGGGAGCAGUGGGGGAUAUGGGCCAAUGGGCGAAAGCCUGAUGCAGCGACGCCGCGUGGGGGAUUAAGGCUUUCGGGUUGUAAAACUCUUUCGCUAUCGAAGGGGUAGGGGGAGAAGAAGCGCCGGCUAACUACGUGCCAGCAGCCGCGGUAAUAC
This 406-nucleotide ribosomal RNA is filed under the name uncultured bacterium. RNAcentral's name for it is "partial 16S ribosomal RNA". It matches the Rfam family "Bacterial small subunit ribosomal RNA", at positions 28 to 526 of the family's 1533-position model. The record is from RNAcentral.